AGUAACACGUGGAUAACCUACCUAUAAGACUGGGAUAACUUCGGGAAACCGGAGCUAAUACCGGAUAAUAUUUUGAACCGCAUGGUUCAAAAGUGAAAGACGGCCUUGCUGUCACUUAUAGAUGGAUCCGCGCUGCAUCAGCUAGUUGGUAAGGUAACGGCUUACCAAGGCAACGAUGCAUAGCCGACCUGAGAGGGUGAUCGGCCACACUGGAACUGAGACACGGUCCAG
This 231-nucleotide ribosomal RNA is filed under the name uncultured Staphylococcus sp. RNAcentral's name for it is "partial 16S ribosomal RNA". It matches the Rfam family "Bacterial small subunit ribosomal RNA", at positions 109 to 334 of the family's 1533-position model. Lineage: Bacteria; Bacillati; Bacillota; Bacilli; Caryophanales; Staphylococcaceae. The record is from RNAcentral.